This 252-nucleotide ribosomal RNA is filed under the name uncultured bacterium. Its description in RNAcentral is "partial 16S ribosomal RNA". It matches the Rfam family "Bacterial small subunit ribosomal RNA", at positions 524 to 776 of the family's 1533-position model. The record is from RNAcentral.
UACGGAGGGGACUAGCGUUGUUCGGAAUUACUGGGCGUAAAGCGCACGUAGGCGGAUUUGUAAGUCAGGGGUGAAAUCCCGGGCUCAACCUCGGAACUGCCUUUGAUACUGCAAAUCUCGAGUCCGGAAGAGGUGAGUGGAAUUCCUAGUGUAGAGGUGAAAUUCGUAGAUAUUAGGAAGAACACCAGUGGCGAAGGCGGCUCACUGGUCCGGUACUGACGCUGAGGUGCGAAAGCGUGGGGAGCAAACAGG